This 507-nucleotide long non-coding RNA is filed under the name Brassica napus (rape). RNAcentral's name for it is "long non-coding RNA (BNAP_LNC026026)". Lineage: Eukaryota; Viridiplantae; Streptophyta; Magnoliopsida; Brassicales; Brassicaceae. The record is from RNAcentral.
GGAGCUUGCAUCGAGAGUGGCACACAUAGCAAACUGGUCUACAAAUAGAGGUGCUGGACACCACUUCUUCAUUGGAUCUUGUUGCUAAACCUUUCUCGAUAUAUCCGUAAUAUCCAGAAAUGGUGCCAAUAGAAAUAUAUGAACAUGGCAUGAAAUAUGAGAAGUCUCCAAAAACGCAUGAAACAUGUAAAACGACUCCACAAUCGUUGCAUGUGUAGAAACCUUCCUUUGGAUCCAAUUUUGUUUCACAUGCCUCAUGUAACACCCCAAAACCCAAGCCCACAAAGAUUUUGAGGAAAGGCCCGCUCUGCGGCCCAUCUUGAUUAAAAUGCCUAGGGUUUCCUUGCCUCUCCUAUAAAUACAAAGCCUCCACCCCUUAGACUUCCAUCAGAAAGAUUAGAAGCGAAGCCCUGCAGAGAAUCCCCGAAGAUCGGAAACCCUAGCCGUCGACUCUUUCUCUCUCUUUCGCGCCGCCUUUCUCCCUCUUCCCCGCGCCGUCUCUCUCCC